Small nucleolar RNA from Pongo abelii (Sumatran orangutan), 100 nucleotides. NCBI's taxonomy places the organism in Eukaryota, Metazoa, Chordata, Mammalia, Primates, Hominidae. The record is from Ensembl.
AUCCUUUUAUAGUUCAUAAGCGUGAUGACUGGGUGUACACACGUGUAAGAUGUGCCUCCCUCACACCUCAGUACAACAUUGGCAUAUUACCCAUCCCACA